CCCUUAGAUGGUCUGGGUGGCACGCGCGCUACAAUGAUGCAUUCAAAAAGUCUUCUGACCUUAGAAGGUUGGGUAUUCUCCAAAGUGCAUCGUGAUGGGAAUAGUUUAUUGCAAUUUUUAAUCUUGAACGAGGAAUUCCUAGUAAGUACAGGUCAUCAACUUGUGUUGAUUACGUCCCUGCCCUUUGUACACACCGCCCGUCGCUCCUACUGAUUGAGUGUCUCGGUGAAUUCUUUGAUCUUCUGUCGAUUCAGUUCACUGAUCCGACGGUGGAAAGUUGAAUGAACUUCGUCACUUAGAGGAAGGAGAAGUCGUAACA
This 319-nucleotide ribosomal RNA is filed under the name uncultured eukaryote. RNAcentral describes it as "partial 18S ribosomal RNA". It matches the Rfam family "Eukaryotic small subunit ribosomal RNA", at positions 1470 to 1796 of the family's 1831-position model. The record is from RNAcentral.